This is a small nuclear RNA of Erinaceus europaeus (western European hedgehog), 106 nucleotides long. Lineage: Eukaryota; Metazoa; Chordata; Mammalia; Eulipotyphla; Erinaceidae. The record is from Ensembl.
GUCCUCACUCUGGCAGCACAUUUACUAAUAUUAAAAUGAUGCAGAAAGAUUAGCAUUGUUUCUGAGCAAAGGUGACUCCAAGAAUGGUGAUAGAGUCCAUAUAUAU